This 72-nucleotide transfer RNA is filed under the name Ovis aries (sheep). It matches the Rfam family "tRNA". From Rfam's summary of the family: Transfer RNA (tRNA) molecules are approximately 80 nucleotides in length. Their secondary structure includes four short double-helical elements and three loops (D, anti-codon, and T loops). Lineage: Eukaryota; Metazoa; Chordata; Mammalia; Artiodactyla; Bovidae. The record is from Rfam by way of RNAcentral.
UCCCUGGUAGCUCAGUUGGUAAAGAAUUUGCCUGCAAUGCAGGAGACCCUGGUUUGAUUCCUGGGUUGGGAA